GUGAACGCUGGCGGUAGGCCUAACACAUGCAAGUCGAACGGCAGCACCGUAAGAGCUUGCUCUUACGGGUGGCGAGUGGCGGACGGGUGAGGAAUACAUCGGAAUCUACUUUUUCGUGGGGGAUAACGUAGGGAAACUUACGCUAAUACCGCAUACGACCUACGGGUGAAAGCAGGGGAUCUUCGGACCUUGCGCGAUUGAAUGAGCCGAUGUCGGAUUAGCUAGUUGGCGGGGUAAAGGCCCACCAAGGCGACGAUCCGUAGCUGGUCAGAGAGGAUGAUCAGCCACACUGGAACUGAGACACGGUCCAGACUCCUACGGGAGGCAGCAGUGGGGAAUAUUGGACAAUGGGCGCAAGCCUGAUCCAGCCAUACCGCGUGGGUGAAGAAGGCCUUCGGGUUGUAAAGCCCUUUUGUUGGGAAAGAAAAGCAGCAGGUUAAUACCCCGCUGUUCUGACGGUACCCAAAGAAUAAGCACCGGCUAACUUCGUG
This 491-nucleotide ribosomal RNA is filed under the name uncultured bacterium. RNAcentral's name for it is "partial 16S ribosomal RNA". It matches the Rfam family "Bacterial small subunit ribosomal RNA", at positions 29 to 507 of the family's 1533-position model. The record is from RNAcentral.